UGGGGAAUAUUGCACAAUGGGCGCAAGCCUGAUGCAGCCAUGCCGCGUGUGUGAAGAAGGCCUUCGGGUUGUAAAGCACUUUCAGCGAGGAGGAAGGUGGUGAGCUUAAUACGCUCAUCAAUUGACGUUACUCGCAGAAGAAGCACCGGCUAACUCCGUGCCAGCAGCCGCGGUAAUACGGAGGGUGCAAGCGUUAAUCGGAAUUACUGGGCGUAAAGCGCACGCAGGCGGUUUGUUAAGUCAGAUGUGAAAAUCCCCGGGCUCAACCUGGGAACUGCAUUUGAAACUGGCAAGCUAGAGUCUCGUAGAGGGGGGUAGAAUUCCAGGUGGUAGCGGUGAAAUGCGUAGAGAUCUGGAGGAAUACCGGUGGCGAAGGCGGCCCCCUGGACGAAGACUGACCGCUCAGGUGCGAAAGCGUGGGGAGCAAACAGGAUUAGGAUAACCCUGGUAGU
This 452-nucleotide ribosomal RNA is filed under the name uncultured bacterium. RNAcentral's name for it is "partial 16S ribosomal RNA". It matches the Rfam family "Bacterial small subunit ribosomal RNA", at positions 355 to 794 of the family's 1533-position model. The record is from RNAcentral.